UACAGAGGGUGCUAGCGUUGUUCGGAAUCACUGGGCUUAAAGCGUGUGUAGGCGGGCCCGUAAGUGUCUUGUGAAAUCCCACGGCUCAACCGUGGAACUGCUGGGCAUACUGCGGGUCUUGGGCCAACUAGGGGCAGCCGGAACAAGCGGUGGAGCGGUGAAAUGCGUAGAUAUCGCUUGGAACGCCGAAGGUGAAAACAGGCUGCUGGGGUUGCGCCGACGCUGAGACACGAAAGCCAGGGGAGCAAACGGG
Molecule: ribosomal RNA, 253 nt
Filed under: uncultured bacterium
Lineage: Bacteria
Description: partial 16S ribosomal RNA
Rfam family: Bacterial small subunit ribosomal RNA
Source: RNAcentral